Molecule: microRNA, 21 nt
Filed under: Ovis aries (sheep)
Lineage: Eukaryota; Metazoa; Chordata; Mammalia; Artiodactyla; Bovidae
Description: microRNA miR-200b
Source: RNAcentral
UAAUACUGCCUGGUAAUGAUU